CUGGUUUGCUUGUUCAUUUCUGACAUCUGACUUCAGGAAAGAUUUUUAAAACUUCCAGAAUUCAUCACUUUGUGCUCCUUCCUCAGACCUGGCUCCACUUCUGGGUUCUUAGGCAUACCUUCUCUUAGCUAUUCCAGGAUCCCCUUUGGCUGUAGCAGUUCUAAGAUGCUUUUCCCAAGAUAAGAAGAACCUCAUUUCUAUCAUUUCAAGUAAAAUUAUUCAUACUUGUUCCAAUUGGACUUUUAAAAAUGGUUUAUUCAUAACCAAUCUGUGUGACCAUGGAAAUGACUGCCCUUAUUUGGUUUAAACCAAACAAAAUCCAUUCCUUAAAGUACAAAUUUGAGGUCUUGGGUUAAAGGUGGAGGUGUUCUCCCAAAAUCACCUGGAAUGUUACUACAAAUACAUAAGAAAAAAAGAAAUGGCAGACAACAAAGUGUCUGUUCCAUCCAUAAGCAUAAAUGUACACAUCCAGUCCUAUUCCUAAGAUGGUAUGUUGCCUAAAUCCUCACCUAAUACAGUCCCAGCUUCCGUUAUUUGUUAUGAUUCUAAUUCACAAACUUAGGUGUGAAACACAUCUCACUUAUGGACAUCCUCGACAUCCACACCCAACUGAUUCCGUCUGAGAUCACCUAAACUCUAAUAGCCCUGAUAUCAACACUAUUCUUGAUUAUCACUAUUAAAUGCUUAUGUGAAUUUCAUAUCUACUGCUGAUAUCUUAAAUGCAGGUACAACUGACUGAAAAAGAAAUGAGAAAAAAACAAAGUUCAGAAACUCAACUGUGCAUUCAUUCUGUGGUUAUCAAUGCUUCAAAGACCAAACUAAUAGUGCCAGCAAAACAGGGUAUUGGAGCAGAACAUUAAAAUAAAGACUCAUCAUCAGUCCUCACACUCUCAUUCUGUGCAUUAUAGUGUACAUUACUGAAGAGAAAAAUGUCCUAAGUAAAUUAUAAGGUUUUAUCCUCUAAAUAGCUCAUCAGUUUCUUAUAAAAAUUCUGAUAGUUAUCAGGAAUUGCAUCAUUUUAUGGUAACUACAGAUUACAGAUUCUAUCUGAAUGUCCCCACAAAGCCUCUUGCACCCCGAUGUGAGGGCUUGAAGAAGGUGAUUGGUUAAUGGGGAUGCUACGCCAGGCUUGGUGUCAGGAUGUGGGCCUGGUCAGAAGAGGUGGGUCAGUGCGGGUGUGACCUGGGAGGGUGUAUCUUGCUCCCUGGCCCACACUUUACCAUAUGCCUCCUGGCCUCCACCAGGCAAGCAGCAUUUCUAUCAAUGUGCACCUCUGACAUGCCAUCCUGCCCUCCUGGAACUAGGUAACUAUGAACUGAAAUGUGAGCCAAAACAAACCCCUAUUCCCUUAAUUUGUAGUGUUGAGUAUUGUGUCUCAGGACAAUGAGUAAUAAAGAUUUUGGUACCAUUGCUGCGACUGUACCUCACCAGGUGGUUCAGAAGCCUUUGGAAGAAGUUCACAGCAGUUUGGAAAGGUUUGGAGAUGCCAGCUGGAGAAGGACCCCUAGAAUGCUAUAAUCAGGGCUUGAUGAAAGAUUCUGGUCAGAGCUCAGAUGGAUUGUUGAAGAUAAAGACCAGACUUAGGAGAUUUCAGUUGAGAAGGAGGAUACCACUGGCAGUUGCAUCCAGGUGAUGUAUGUUACCCUCUGGCAGAAAAUUUGUCUACAUUUUGUUCAUAUCCCAAGAUUUGUGGGAACCUUAUAAUAAUGGUGGAAGAAUGAUUAAUCUGAUAGAG
This 1735-nucleotide long non-coding RNA is filed under the name Heterocephalus glaber (naked mole-rat). RNAcentral describes it as "lncRNA (ENSHGLG00000035678.1)". The record is from RNAcentral. Lineage: Eukaryota; Metazoa; Chordata; Mammalia; Rodentia; Bathyergidae.